This 65-nucleotide transfer RNA is filed under the name human gut metagenome. It matches the Rfam family "tRNA". From Rfam's summary of the family: Transfer RNA (tRNA) molecules are approximately 80 nucleotides in length. Their secondary structure includes four short double-helical elements and three loops (D, anti-codon, and T loops). The record is from RNAcentral. RNAcentral also lists the same sequence under 1 other name.
GGCGUGGCUCAACGGUAGAGCAGCUGAUUUGUAAUCAGCAGGUUGGGAGUUCGAUUCUCUUCGCC